Molecule: ribosomal RNA, 199 nt
Filed under: uncultured bacterium
Lineage: Bacteria
Description: partial 16S ribosomal RNA
Rfam family: Bacterial small subunit ribosomal RNA
Source: RNAcentral
ACGCUCGACACCUACGGGAAGGCAGCAGUGGGGAAUAUUGCACAAUGGGGGAAACCCUGAUGCAGCGACGCCGCGUGAGCGAAGAAGUAUUUCGGUAUGUAAAGCUCUAUCAGCAGGGAAGAAAAUGACGGUACCUGACUAAGAAGCACCGGCUAAAUACGUGCCAGCAGCCGCGGUAAUCUGAGCGGGCUGGCAAGGC